This 630-nucleotide ribosomal RNA is filed under the name uncultured bacterium. RNAcentral's name for it is "bacterial SSU rRNA". It matches the Rfam family "Bacterial small subunit ribosomal RNA", at positions 239 to 859 of the family's 1533-position model. The record is from RNAcentral.
CAUUAGCUGGUUGGUGGGGUAAUGGCCUACCAAGGCGACGAUGGGUAGCUGGUCUGAGAGGAUGGCCAGCCACACUGGAACUGAGACACGGUCCAGACUCCUACGGGAGGCAGCAGUGAGGAAUCUUGCGCAAUGGGGGAAACCCUGACGCAGCAACGCCGCGUGAGUGAGGAAGGUCUUCGGAUCGUAAAGCUCUGUCGGGUGGAAAGAAGUGGGGAAAGGUGAACAGCCUUUCUCCUUGACGGUACCACCGAAGGAAGCACCGGCUAACUCCGUGCCAGCAGCCGCGGUAAUACGGAGGGUGCGAGCGUUGUUCGGAAUCAUUGGGCGUAAAGAGCGUGUAGGCGGCUUGGCAAGUCAGAUGUGAAAUCCCUGGGCUCAACCCAGGAAGUGCAUUUGAAACUGCCCUGCUGGAGUAUGGGAGAGGGAAGUGGAAUUCCUGGUGUAGAGGUGAAAUUCGUAGAUAUCAGGAGGAACACCCAUGGCGAAGGCGACUUCCUGGCCCAAUACUGACGCUGAGACGCGAGAGCGUGGGGAGCAAACAGGAUUAGAUACCCUGGUAGUCCACGCCGUAAACGAUGUUCACUAGGUGUUGGGGGUAUUGACCCCCUCAGUGCCGAAGCUAACGCA